This 301-nucleotide ribosomal RNA is filed under the name uncultured bacterium. Its description in RNAcentral is "partial 16S ribosomal RNA". It matches the Rfam family "Bacterial small subunit ribosomal RNA", at positions 509 to 809 of the family's 1533-position model. The record is from RNAcentral.
CAGUAGCCACGGGAAUACGUAGGGUGCAAGCGUUAAUCGGAAUUACUGGGCGUAAAGCGUGCGCAGGCGGUUUGUUAAGACAGAUGUGAAAUCCCCGGGCUCAACCUGGGAACUGCAUUUGUGACUGGCAAGCUAGAGUGUGGCAGAGGGGGGUGGAAUUCCGCGUGUAGCAGUGAAAUGCGUAGAUAUGCGGAGGAACACCGAUGGCGAAGGCAGCCCCCUGGGCCAACACUGACGCUCAUGCAUGAAAGCGUGGGGAGCAAACAGGAUUAGAUACCCCCGUAGUCCCUGUCUCUUAUAU